AAACUCAAAGGAAUUGACGGGGGCCCGCACAAGCGGCGGAGCAUGUGGCUUAAUUCGAGGCAACGCGAAGAACCUUACCUGGGUUGAACUACGCAGGAAAAGCCGUAGAGAUACGGUGUCCGCAAGGGCCUGUGAUAGGUGGUGCAUGGCUGUCGUCAGCUCGUGUCGUGAGAUGUUGGGUUAAGUCCCGCAACGAGCGCAACCCUUGUCCUAUGUUGCCAGCGGGUAAUGCCGGGGACUCGUAGGAGACUGCCGGGGUCAACUCGGAGGAAGGUGGGGAUGACGUCAAGUCAUCAUGCCCCUUACGUCCAGGGCUGCACACAUGCUACAAUGGCCGGUACAAAGGGCUGCUAUCCCGCGAGGGUGAGCGAAUCUCAAAAAGCCGGUCUCAGUUCGGAUCGCAGUCUGCAACUCGACUGCGUGAAGUCGGAGUCGCUAGUAAUCCCGGAUCAGCAACGCCGGGGUGAAUACGUUCCCGGGCCUUGUACACACCGCCCGUCACACCGCGAAAGUCGGCAACACCCGAAGCCGGUGGCCCAACCGUAAGGAGGGAGCCGUCGAAGGUGGGGUCGGUGAUUGGGGUGAAGUCGUAACAA
RNAcentral lists this ribosomal RNA (596 nucleotides) under uncultured bacterium. Its description in RNAcentral is "bacterial SSU rRNA". It matches the Rfam family "Bacterial small subunit ribosomal RNA", at positions 897 to 1494 of the family's 1533-position model. The record is from RNAcentral.